CCUACGGGGGGCUGCAGUAGGGAAUAUUGCGCAAUGGAGGGAACUCUGACGCAGCGACGCCGCGUGAGCGAUGAAGGUCUUCGGAUCGUAAAGCUCUGUCCUUGGGGAAGAAGGGAGCCGUAAGGCUUCUUGACGGUACCCAUGGAGGAAGCCCCGGCUAACUACGUGCCAGCAGCCGCGGUAAUACGUAGGGGGCAAGCGUUGUCCGGAAUUAUUGGGCGUAAAGGGUGCGUAGGCGGCCCUUUAAGUCAGAUGUGAAAGCCCACGGCUUAACCGUGGGACUGCAUUUGAAACUGGAGGGCUUGAGUGUCGGAGAGGGCAGUGGAAUUCCCAGUGUAGCGGUGGAAUGCGUAGAUAUUGGGAGGAACACCAGUGGCGAAGGCGACUGCCUGGACGAUAACUGACGCUGAGGCACGAAAGCUAGGGGAGCAAACAGGAUUAGAUACCCGUGUAGUC
This 456-nucleotide ribosomal RNA is filed under the name uncultured Eubacteriales bacterium. RNAcentral describes it as "bacterial SSU rRNA". It matches the Rfam family "Bacterial small subunit ribosomal RNA", at positions 338 to 795 of the family's 1533-position model. The record is from RNAcentral. Lineage: Bacteria; Bacillati; Bacillota; Clostridia; Eubacteriales.